Long non-coding RNA from Chinchilla lanigera (long-tailed chinchilla), 1897 nucleotides. RefSeq lists it as uncharacterized. The transcript has 8 exons. The record is from RefSeq and is a predicted model, not a curated record. NCBI's taxonomy places the organism in Eukaryota, Metazoa, Chordata, Mammalia, Rodentia, Chinchillidae.
UGAUGCUGGAAUCUUUAACAAUCCCUCCUGGCAGAGAGAAUCACUGGACUGGAAGCAUCUAGACCUUUCCUUCCGGCUUUGAUUCUCUGUUUGUAUGAGAUAGCUACAGCAAAGGUGCAGCUGAGUGACUUCCUUUCCUUGAAGCACCCCAAGUGAGGCUCACAGCCUCGGAUUUACUUUGGAUAAAAGCACGAAAAGCCAACCAUUGACUCAGAGACAAGAUAACUGAAUGGAUCUGAAUGGAUCUUCAUGGUGAAGAAGAAAGAAGAAAAGAGAAGAGGACAGAAAAGGACAAGACAGGAGCACAAAAAGAAAGAAAGGAGGAAAGAAAAAAGGAAGAAAGAAAGAAAAUCUGGGAAAGUGUGAUGGACUAGGCUCCUAUUCACUUGUUUAAGCUAAUUCUGCAGACCUGGAGCCUGAGAUCCAUAAACCCAGGAAGAUGGCUGAAGAUCAUGCUGGAUUAAAGCCAAAGCAAGGAACCAGUGGGACAGUGGGCAGACCAGAUGCUUUGAUGACAUGUGACGUAAUGCUGCAAGACUGAAGCAGUUUCCCCCAAAUGAAGCUACUGAACUAUCUUGAGGAGCAACGGUUGAACUGUUCAUUGAGGACAAGCCUGGGGUACCUCACCUGGACUGUGUUACACUUCCUGGAAGGAGCAGCACUGGGUAAAGGAACAACAGGAAAGGCAAUGAUGUGGGCCGUCAAGAAUGUAGACAUCCUGAUUCUGUCUUUCACAGUUGACAAGGAUUGGUGCCAGAUAAUGCAGUAAAACCUCGGCUUGAAAAAUUAAACUUCAAUAUGUUUUGGCCGUAAUAGUCCCAUUAGGAAGCUGUGUCUUAUAUUCACUUUGGUGGGCUGGGAAACAUGACCUUUUUCACAAUUAUUGGAUUAGUAGAAGUAGGUCUAUUAUAGUUAUAAUGUACUUAAAUUGCAACAAGGAGCAUGCCAAGGACUUCUUUUUAAAACACCCUGGUGAACAAAAUGGAGGAAAUAUGAGUUUGAUCAUUGUUCCUUUAGUUGAAUUUUGAAAAUUUAAGUACUAAUUUUAUUGAGCACUUACUAUGUGACAGGUGUUGUAUUGAAGAUUUUAUGUGCAUUAAUCAAUUAAUCUUCAUAAAACCCUACAAACUCUGCAUUACUAACUCCAUCAUCCAGAUGAGGUAACCAUUUGGAAAGGAUGUUAAUUAUUAAUUCUGUUUCCCUGGAGCAGGAAUUCUUCCCAAGUGUGGAAGAGGAGGCCAUACUUGCUACAGGAUUUAUCAGAUUCACUUGGAUAAGAGUUUUUCUUUCAAAGCAUAAAGCGCUUAACCUUCGUUUUAGUUUCCCUCUUAGAAAACCUGCAUCUCAUCACCUUGGAUAUCUCAAAUGUUUUUUAAGCUCUAAUUGAUGUGCACGGGUGGUUGCAAGCUCUGUCAGAUACACUGAGGUGGGAAAAAGGUUGAGCUUUACUACGGCAAAGGGAUGCCCUUGAUGGUAAGCUGUAAGACUCUGUACCUAUUUCUGUCUUGGUUUCAACAUUAUAGUUAAUGUCUUCACUGGAGAUGUAGAAAAGUUUGCCAAUCAAGUGUUAUAAGAGAACUGCAAUGAGAGAGGAAGUAAUACGCUGGAUGAAAGAAUCAGGACUCUAAGAAGAAUUCACUAGACUACAAAGAUGGCCCAUAAACAACAAAAUAAACUUAAUAAAAGUAAGUGUGGCCUCCAGUACUAGUUUCACAAAAUAAACAAAAAUUUUAAAACCAGUAACUCUACAGGUUGGAUACAUGUUUAAUGUGGUUGCCAAAAAUGUUAGUGGGAAUUUAGGUUGCAACAAUAACUGUAUAGAGUCUAGAAUACAGGAGGUGAUUAUUGUACUUUUUUCUGAGUUUAUAGAUGCCACACCUCAAUCAAGUCCUCUGCU